UCGAACGGAAAGGCCUGCUUGCAGGUACUCGAGUGGCGAACGGGUGAGUAACACGUGGGUGAUCUGCCCUGCACUUCGGGAUAAGCCUGGGAAACUGGGUCUAAUACCGGAUAGGAACCAUUUUUAGUGUGAUGGUUGGAAAGUUUUUUCGGUGUAGGAUGAGCUCGCGGCCUAUCAGCUUGUUGGUGGGGUAAUGGCCUACCAAGGCGGCGACGGGUAGCCGGCCUGAGAGGGUGGACGGCCACAUUGGGACUGAGAUACGGCCCAGACUCCUACGGGAGGCAGCAGUGGGGAAUAUUGCACAAUGGGCGCAAGCCUGAUGCAGCGACGCCGCGUGGGGGAUGACGGCCUUCGGGUUGUAAACUCCUUUCGCUAGGGACGAAGCUUUUGUGACGGUACCUAGAUAAGAAGCACCGGCUAACUACGUGCCAGCAGCCGCGGUAAUACGUAGGGUGCGAGCGUUGUCCGGAAUUACUGGGCGUAAAGGGCUCGUAGGUGGUUUGUCGCGUCGUCUGUGAAAUUCCGGGGCUUAACUCCGGGCGUGCAGGCGAUACGGGCAUAACUUGAGUACUGUAGGGGUAACUGGAAUUCCUGGUGUAGCGGUGAAAUGCGCAGAUAU
This 619-nucleotide ribosomal RNA is filed under the name uncultured Actinomycetes bacterium. Its description in RNAcentral is "bacterial SSU rRNA". It matches the Rfam family "Bacterial small subunit ribosomal RNA", at positions 62 to 697 of the family's 1533-position model. The record is from RNAcentral. Lineage: Bacteria; Bacillati; Actinomycetota; Actinomycetes.